RNAcentral lists this transfer RNA (94 nucleotides) under Thermothielavioides terrestris NRRL 8126. Its description in RNAcentral is "Thielavia terrestris NRRL 8126 tRNA". It matches the Rfam family "tRNA". Rfam says of the family: Transfer RNA (tRNA) molecules are approximately 80 nucleotides in length. Their secondary structure includes four short double-helical elements and three loops (D, anti-codon, and T loops). The record is from Rfam by way of RNAcentral. Lineage: Eukaryota; Fungi; Ascomycota; Sordariomycetes; Sordariales; Chaetomiaceae.
GCGGGUUUAGCUCAGUUGGGAGAGCGUCAGACUGAAGUCAAAACUUCAGGAAAACUCAAUCUGAAGGUCGUGUGUUCGAUCCACACAAACCGCA